RNAcentral lists this ribosomal RNA (502 nucleotides) under uncultured bacterium. RNAcentral describes it as "partial 16S ribosomal RNA". It matches the Rfam family "Bacterial small subunit ribosomal RNA", at positions 28 to 523 of the family's 1533-position model. The record is from RNAcentral.
GAUGAACGCUAGCGGCAGGCCUAACACAUGCAAGUCGAGGGGCAGCACAGAAACAGCAAUGUUUUGGUGGCGACCGGCGGACGGGUGAGUAACGCGUAUGCAACCUACCUUUAACAGGGGGAUAACGGAGAGAAAUUUCCACUAAUACCCCAUAACAUCGAUCAAGGCAUGUUAAUUGGUUGAAAACUUCGGUGGUCAAGGAAGGGGAUGCGUUGUAUUAGGUAGUUGGUGAGGUAAUGUCUUACCAAGCCUAAGAUACAUAGGGGGACUGGGAGGUUAGCCCCGCACACUAGUACUGAGACACGGACCAGACUCCUACGGGAGGCAGCAGUGAGGAAUAUUGGUAAAUGGGGGCAACCCUGAACCAGCCAUGCCGCGUGCAGGAAGACGGCUCUAUGAGUUGUAAACUGCUUUUAAACAGGGAUAAAGCACAGUAUGUAUACUGUGUUGAAGGUACUGUAAGAAUAAGGAUCGGCUAACUCCGUGCCAGCCGCCGCGGUAA